This 446-nucleotide long non-coding RNA is filed under the name Homo sapiens (human). RNAcentral describes it as "non-protein coding LINC01524:24". The record is from RNAcentral. Lineage: Eukaryota; Metazoa; Chordata; Mammalia; Primates; Hominidae.
AUUACUCACGAGUGACAGAACCAACGAGCUUCAUCUCCCAAGAGGCUGGUGCAUCUGUUUAAAGGAGCAGGCACUAGGCAGAGCAGCCCCCACCCCACCCUCCAUGGCAGAGUGCAGUGGGGGAAGGUUACAUCAUCUGGAGACUGAGAACUUGGGAUGCUCCUUGUUCAUCCAAGCAUUUGAACAAAUCCAGUGUCCUUUUUGAGCAAAAUAUGAGCCCCACCUUUAGAAUCUGUGAAUCUCCCCUUCAGAUGGGAAAGCUGUUUUUGUGGCUAAAAUUAGAAAUAACCCAAAUGUCUAUGAAAUGAUGCAUGGAUAGAUAAAAUGUGAUAUACCCACACAAUGGAAAAGUAUUUAUCAAUAAAAAGGACUGAAGUCCUGAUACAUACUCCAACAUGAAUAAAUAUCCAAAACAUCAUGCUAAGUGAAAGGAGCCAGACACAAAA